AGAGUUUGAUCAUGGCUCAGAACGUACGCUGGCGGCACGCCUAACACAUGCAAGUCGAACGCAGUAGCAAUACUGAGUGGCAAACGGGUGAGUAAUAUGUGGGAAUCUGCCUUUUGGUUCGGAAUAACACGGGGAAACUUGUGCUAAUACCGAAUAAGCCCUUACGGGGAAAGUUUUAACGCCGAAAGAUGAGCCCGCACUUGAUUAGCUAGUUGGUAAGGUAAAAGCUUACCAAGGCAACGAUCAAUAGCUGUUCUUAGAGGAAGACCAGCCACAUUGGGACUGAGACACGGCCCAGACUCCUACGGGAGGCAGCAGUGGGGAAUCUUGCACAAUGGGGGAAACCCUGAUGCAGCGAUGCCGCGUGAGUGAAGAAGGCCUUUGGGUUGUAAAACUCUUUCGUCGGGGAAGAAAAUGACUGUACCCGAAUAAGAAGGUCCGGCUAACUUCGUGCCAGCAGCCGCGGUAAUACGAAGGGACCUAGCGUAGUUCGGAAUUACUGGGCUUAAAGAGCUCGUAGGUGGUUAAAAAAGUUGAUGGUGAAAUCCCAAGGCUUAACCUUGGAACUGCCAUCAAAACUUUUUAGCUAGAGUGUGAUAGAGGUAAGUGGAAUUUCUAGUGUAGAGGUGAAAUUCGUAGAUAUUAGAAAGAACAUCAAAUGCGAAGGCAACUUACUGGGUCACUACUGACACUGAGGAGCGAAAGCAUGGGUAGCGAAGAGGAUUAGAUACCCUCGUAGUCCAUGCCGUAAACGAUGUGUGCUAGACGUUGGAAAUAUAUUUUUCAGUGUCGCAGCGAAAGCAUU
RNAcentral lists this ribosomal RNA (805 nucleotides) under uncultured marine microorganism. Its description in RNAcentral is "bacterial SSU rRNA". It matches the Rfam family "Bacterial small subunit ribosomal RNA", at positions 8 to 861 of the family's 1533-position model. The record is from RNAcentral.